Molecule: ribosomal RNA, 429 nt
Filed under: uncultured bacterium
Lineage: Bacteria
Description: bacterial SSU rRNA
Rfam family: Bacterial small subunit ribosomal RNA
Source: RNAcentral
UGGGGAAUAUUGCGCAAUGGGCGAAAGCCUGACGCAGCGACGCCGCGUGGAGGAUGAAGGUCUUCGGAUUGUAAACUUCUGUUAAGUGGGAAGAAAUACCCAUCCUUAAUACGGAUGGGGGAUGACUGUACCAUUAGAGAAAGCACCGGCUAAACUCGUGCCAGCAGCCGCGGUAAUACGAGUGGUGCAAGCGUUAUUCGGAAUCAUUGGGCGUAAAGGGUGUGUAGACGGCUUACUAAGUCAACUGUUAAAUUCUCCGGCCUAACCGGAGGCCAGCAGUAGAAACUGGUGAGCUCGAGGGUGGAAGAGAGAAGCGGAAUUCUCGGAGUAGCGGUAAAAUGCGUAGAUCUCGAGAGGAACACCAAUGGCGAAGGCAGCUUCUUGGUCCAUUUCUGACGUUGAAACACGAAAGCGUGGGGAGCAAACAGG